ACAAUGAGAAAUUUCUACAUAAUAUUACCUCAUAACCAAGUCUUAGAACAAUAAGGGCAAUCCAAAAUAAGUUAAUACUGCAAACUUGUCUCGAAUACUAAACAAAAUUUUUAAGUGGUUUAUCCACACCUGAAAUGGGGAUGGAAUCCAGUCACAAACGGACAGGACCACUACCCCAGUUUCAAGUAAUCCAUGCUAAAUAACAGCCCUUACACCUACAAGGAGGAAAAUAAAUAUGGCUUUCUGAAUUACAAAGCCAAUUACCACACCAAACCAAAACCUUGCUUACAGAAGAUCAGCAACAUUAGCAGGCAGCUCCUCAAUUACGACAUUGUAGAACUUCUGGAUGUCAA
This 353-nucleotide long non-coding RNA is filed under the name Fragaria vesca (wild strawberry). Its description in RNAcentral is "long non-coding RNA (FVES_LNC000828)". The record is from RNAcentral. Lineage: Eukaryota; Viridiplantae; Streptophyta; Magnoliopsida; Rosales; Rosaceae.